GGAUUUGUAGCUCAUUGGUUGAGCGCUCGAAGCACAGAUGUUUUGAGAGGUGGUGGUUCGAAUCCGCCCUAAUCCG
RNAcentral lists this transfer RNA (76 nucleotides) under Amborella trichopoda. It matches the Rfam family "tRNA". From Rfam's summary of the family: Transfer RNA (tRNA) molecules are approximately 80 nucleotides in length. The record is from Rfam by way of RNAcentral. Lineage: Eukaryota; Viridiplantae; Streptophyta; Magnoliopsida; Amborellales; Amborellaceae.